AUGAAAUUGAAUUCGUAGUGAAGAUGCUACGUCCAUAUUGUAAGACGAAAAGUCCCCAUUGAGCUUUACUAAAGACUUAUAUGGCUCGAAUAACUUAAAUAAAAAGUUUAGAUAAUGUGGGAUCCGUUUUUGGUUAAUGAGACACCACUCUUUUAUUUUAAGAGAACUAACCUUAUAGGGAGAAUGUAAGUUAGAUAGUUUGGUUGGGGCGACCACCUUUUAAAAGGUAACGAAGGUGAGCUUAAGGUCCGUAGUUAAUAGCUAGAGGCCUGACUGCAAGGGGGACAUCCCGAGCAGACACAUCCUUAAGGAUGUGGGUUAUAGUGACCCGUCAUCUUAGAGUGGAAUAGUUGACGAUCAACGAAUAAAA
RNAcentral lists this ribosomal RNA (370 nucleotides) under Bellactis ilkalyseae. RNAcentral's name for it is "partial 16S ribosomal RNA". It matches the Rfam family "Bacterial large subunit ribosomal RNA", at positions 2036 to 2461 of the family's 2925-position model. The record is from RNAcentral. Lineage: Eukaryota; Metazoa; Cnidaria; Anthozoa; Actiniaria; Aiptasiidae.